RNAcentral lists this ribosomal RNA (253 nucleotides) under uncultured bacterium. RNAcentral describes it as "partial 16S ribosomal RNA". It matches the Rfam family "Bacterial small subunit ribosomal RNA", at positions 524 to 776 of the family's 1533-position model. The record is from RNAcentral.
UACGUAGGGGGCAAGCGUUAUCCGGAAUUAUUGGGCGUAAAGAGCUCGUAGGCGGUCUGUCGCGUCUGCUGUGAAAACCCGAGGCUCAACCUCGGGCCUGCAGUGGGUACGGGCAGACUAGAGUGCGGUAGGGGAGAAUGGAACUCCUGGUGUAGCGGUGGAAUGCGCAGAUAUCAGGAAGAACACCGAUGGCGAAGGCAGUUCUCUGGGCCGUAACUGACGCUGAGGAGCGAAAGCGUGGGGAGCGAACAGG